GGGGAUUUAGCUCAGCGGCAUAAGCACCUGCCUUGCAAGCAGGCAGUCCUCA
Molecule: transfer RNA, 52 nt
Filed under: Cavia porcellus (domestic guinea pig)
Lineage: Eukaryota; Metazoa; Chordata; Mammalia; Rodentia; Caviidae
Source: Rfam by way of RNAcentral